GACACUGGUAAUGGUACUCCUGUUUACUGGGAUAGGGUUCGACUCCCUGUGGUGUC
Molecule: small nuclear RNA, 56 nt
Filed under: Maylandia zebra (zebra mbuna)
Lineage: Eukaryota; Metazoa; Chordata; Actinopteri; Cichliformes; Cichlidae
Source: RNAcentral